RNAcentral lists this long non-coding RNA (1394 nucleotides) under Homo sapiens (human). RNAcentral describes it as "non-protein coding lnc-ANKS4B-5:14". Lineage: Eukaryota; Metazoa; Chordata; Mammalia; Primates; Hominidae. The record is from RNAcentral.
UGCCAGCACGCUGUCACCUCUCAUUAGGACCUGGGUUCACAAGGCUUGGCACAGGGAAGGCCUGGGCCCUGUGUUUGCAGGUGCCUGCCAGGUGUUUGAGCCCAGGUGUGCCAUCCUUGUUCUAGGAUGGGGCUGAAGCCCAGGGCCACUGGGGCCUGCCUAGUGCUUGGGUCAGCCUACUGCAGGGGCAGGACCAGAGACCAAGUCCACCAGGCUGGGCUGGAACCUGGGACUGCAGAAUCUGGCCUGACAUUAGUAUGGGCUUGGAGGCUCAGUUUGCUGAUACUAGCCUGGCAAUGGGUAAGCCUGGAGCCUGUAUCCAUAGGGGCCAGCCUGGCAGCUGGGUCUACCAGGUAGGCCCAGAACCUGGAGCUGUGAGAUCUAGCCUGGUGCUAGGGCAGACGUGAAGGCUCAGUCCCCGACUUAUUUUCUUGAUGUUAGGUUAGAUUUUGAUGGGCAGAAAUUUUAGAUUUUGAUAAAGCCCCUUUUUUAUGGUUUGUGUCCUUAGUAUCCAUUUUAAGAAAUCGCUGCCUACCCCAAGGUCAGAAAGAUAUUCUGUAGUAAUAGUAGAGAUUUUAAAGUAUCUUAUGUUCAUCUUAUGUCAUAUUCAGAAAAAUUGCUUGUAGGAGUAGUUGACUAUAGCAUUUUGUUAUUUUUUUCCAGAGAGGAUUCAUUUUUUAUACUAGGCAGCUGUCAGUACUUGCAAUCUUGGGAGCGCCCUCAUCCAGUAUCAAGGAUUGAGAUAAUUUGAAGCCGGGAUUUGUAGAAGCUAAAAGGAUUGAGAUUAUUUGCAGUCCCAGGGAAGGUCAAUCUCCUUUAGGUUUCUCCUUACUUAUAAAGUCAAGUCCUAAUCUAAUCCCUUCCAUUCUUGGCUCUGAAUUCCAGCUCUCUUUCUCGUAGCCCCAAGAAUUUAAGUCAGAUAUUCAUGGUCACAUAGUUGUGAAAUCCCACAUGGUAGUGGUACGAUUUCAACCUAGGCAGUCUAACUUCAGAUCCUGGGUUAUUAAAAGGAACCUUCCACGUCACCCCUACCAUGAGGGAUGAGUUUCAUUUGUUUUGUUUCCCAUUGUACACCCACACCUCACAUGACAUGUAGUAGGUAUUCAGAAAAUAUUCAAUAUAAGAAUGAACCUUCUCUUGGUCCAUUUGGGAUACUAUAGCAAGAUACCACAGACUAUGUGGCUUAAAAACAGUAGUUUAUUGCUUACAGUUCUGAUGGCUGUGAAGUCCAAGAUCAAGGUGGCAGCACAUUCCUUGUCUAGUGAGGACCCCUUUCCUGGUUGGCCUGUCUUUUCUUUGUGUCCUCACAUGGUGGAAGGAAUGAGGGAUCUCUGUGGGGACUCUUUUAUAAGGGAACUCAUCCCAUUCUAAUACCUCUCUAAAUCCCCACUUCA